This is a long non-coding RNA of Ostrea edulis (European flat oyster), 1385 nucleotides long. RefSeq lists it as uncharacterized. The record is from RefSeq and is a predicted model, not a curated record. Lineage: Eukaryota; Metazoa; Mollusca; Bivalvia; Ostreida; Ostreidae. The transcript is spliced from 7 exons.
CUACGACGUUAAUUUGACCUCGAUCUGCAUUCACUUCCUGUGAAAGUGAAAGUAGCCCCGUAGGCACCGAAAUCAUGGCUGCUGCAUGCUGACGAUGAAUCAUGAUGAUCCCUUUGAUCUCAAAAAGCCAAAGAAAUCAGAGAAAAAGGGAAAAUGUCCUAGCAUGAUGAGAAAAUAGGGAACAGUACUAUUGCCUCACAUAGAGAAACCAGUAAGGAGAAUGAUGCAUUUUCAGGGAAAAUGUCCAAGCAUGAUGAGAAAAUAGGGAACAGUGCCAUUGUCUCACUUAGAGAAGCUAGUGAGGAGAAUGAUGCAUUUUCAGGGAAAAUGUUCAAGCAUGAUGAGAAACUGCGCCAUUGUUUCACUUACAGAAGCCAAUGUUGAGGAUGAUGCAUGUUCAGGGAUAUUGCAGUCAAUGACUGUGAUUCAUCUUAUAAUGCAAAAGUUGGAGAUACGCUCCUGCAGUGAAGGACCCUGAUUAUGAACCAGACCACUGCUCCGACAGUGAUUCAGACUUUCUAAUUGAAGGUAAUUAUCUCUUUAAAGUCAUUUUCCCCUGUACUGCAGUACUCAGCAAUUGAAACAGAACAAUCUUAUAUACAUAUAUUUACAUUCACUGAAUUUUUUCUCUUAUAUUUCUAUUGAAAUUGACAUUGCUUUCAUCUGGAGCAAUGAAAGCAUGUUUGUUGCAAACUUGUUGGAUCCAGUUUUUUUGUACCAUCUUUCUGUGUAAUCAUUACCAAAUAUGGGGCGUCAUCAAGGUUAAAGGGUGCGUUGGCUGUUCUGUUUAACGUAACAAAUGGGUCAAUUAUAUGAUAUUUUAGUACUUCAAUCUAGUUUAUAUUUGAAAACAAUACAACAAAAUAUAAAUAUGAACAAUGAAAUGUCUUUCUUUGUUGCUUCAUCGGGUGAUGAAGGUAGCAAUCAUUGCACAAAAAGUUUACAUAACCCGUUUACACGGGUUAUGAAUUUUUUUUUUGCAAUGCUAGCUACCUUCAUUACCCGAUGAAACAACAAAGAAAGCAUUUUAUUGUGUAAAUAACUUGUUAGCUCACCUGAACCGAAGGUUCAAGUGAGCUUUUCUGAUCAACAUUUGUCCGUUGUCUGUCAUCGUUGUUGUAAACUUUUCACAAUUUUAUCUUCUUCUCAUGAACCACUGGGCCAAUUUCAACCAAACUUGGCCACAAGCAUCCUUAGGUGAAGGGCUUUCAAGUUUGUUCAAAUGAAGGGCCAUGUCCCUUUCAAAGGGGAGAUAAUCACAAAAAUGCAAACAUAGGGUGGGGUCAUUUAAAAAUCUUCUUCUCAAGAACCACUGGGCCAGAAGAGCUGAAAUUUACCUGAAAGUUUGUUCAAAUGAUGGCUCCCAGGGGUAGGAUGGGGCCACA